This 446-nucleotide ribosomal RNA is filed under the name Stenotrophomonas sp. SAM-B. RNAcentral describes it as "bacterial SSU rRNA". It matches the Rfam family "Bacterial small subunit ribosomal RNA", at positions 350 to 793 of the family's 1533-position model. Lineage: Bacteria; Pseudomonadati; Pseudomonadota; Gammaproteobacteria; Lysobacterales; Lysobacteraceae. The record is from RNAcentral.
AGCAGUGAGGAAUAUUGGUCAAUGGGCGAGAGCCUGAACCAGCCAAGUAGCGUGAAGGAUGACUGCCCUAUGGGUUGUAAACUUCUUUUAUAAAGGAAUAAAGUCGGGUAUGCAUACCCGUUUGUAUGUACCUUACGAAUAAGCAUCGGCUAAUUCCGUGCCAGCAGCCGCGGUAAUACGGAAGAUGCGAGCGUUAUCCGGAUUUAUUGGGUUUAAAGGGAGCGUAGAUGGAUGUUUAAGUCAGUUGUGAAAGUUUGCGGCUCAACCGUAAAAUUGCAGUUGAUACUGGAUGUCUUGAGUGCAGUUGAGGCAGGCGGAAUUCGUGGUGUAGCGGUGAAAUGCUUAGAUAUCACGAAGAACUCCGAUUGCGAAGGCAGCCUGCUAGGCUGCAACUGACGCUGAGGCUCGAAAGUGCGGGUAUCAAACAGGAUUAGAUACCCCGGUAG